RNAcentral lists this ribosomal RNA (499 nucleotides) under uncultured bacterium. Its description in RNAcentral is "partial 16S ribosomal RNA". It matches the Rfam family "Bacterial small subunit ribosomal RNA", at positions 28 to 507 of the family's 1533-position model. The record is from RNAcentral.
GAUGAACGCUGGCGGCGUGCCUAAUACAUGCAAGUCGAGCGAACAGACGAGAGUGCUUGCACUCUCUGACGUUAGCGGCGGACGGGUGAGUAACACGUGGGUAACCUACCUAUAAGACUGGGAUAACUUCGGGAAACCGGAGCUAAUACCGGAUAAUAUUUAGCUUCGCAUGAAGCAAUAGUGAAAGACGGUUCUGCUGUCAAUUCUAGAUGGACCCGCGGUGUAUUAGCUAGUUGGUGAGGUAACGGCUCACCAAGGCAACGAUACAUAGCCGACCUGAGAGGGUGAUCGGCCACACUGGGACUGAGACACGGCCCAGACUCCUACGAUAGGCAGCAGUAGGGAAUCUUCCGCAAUGGACGAAAGUCUGACGGAGCAAUGCCGCGUGAGUGAAGAAGGUGUUCGGAUCGUAAAACUCUGUUGUAAGUGAAGAACAAGUACGUUAGUAACUGAACGUACCUUGACGGUACCUUACCAGAAAGCCACGGCUAACUACGUG